ACACGUGCUACAAUGGGCGGUACAAAGAGAGGCAACCUCGCGAGGGUGAGCAGAUCUCAAAAAAGCCGUUCUCAGUUCGGAUUGAAGUCUGCAACUCGACUUCAUGAAGUCGGAAUCGCUAGUAAUCGCGGAUCAGCAUGCCGCGGUGAAUACGUUCCCGGGCCUU
Molecule: ribosomal RNA, 166 nt
Filed under: uncultured Syntrophaceae bacterium
Lineage: Bacteria; Pseudomonadati; Thermodesulfobacteriota; Syntrophia; Syntrophales; Syntrophaceae
Description: partial 16S ribosomal RNA
Rfam family: Bacterial small subunit ribosomal RNA
Source: RNAcentral